RNAcentral lists this transfer RNA (72 nucleotides) under Marmota marmota marmota (Alpine marmot). It matches the Rfam family "tRNA". Rfam says of the family: Transfer RNA (tRNA) molecules are approximately 80 nucleotides in length. RNAcentral also lists the same sequence under 1 other name. Lineage: Eukaryota; Metazoa; Chordata; Mammalia; Rodentia; Sciuridae. The record is from Rfam by way of RNAcentral.
GAUGGUAUAGCUCAGUGGUAGGUCACUUGCCUGGCAUGCAUGAGGCCCUGGGUUCAAUCCGCAGCACCACCC